UACGUAGGGUGCAAGCGUGUCCGGAAUUAUUGGGCGUAAAGAGCUCGUAGGCGGUCUGUCACGUCGGCUGUGAAAACCCGAGGCUCAACCUCGGGCCUGCAGUCGAUACGGGCAAACUAGAGUACUGCAGGGGAGACUGGAAUUCCUGGUGUAGCGGUGAAAUGCGCAGAUAUCAGGAGGAACACCGGUGGCGAAGGCGGGUCUCUGGGCAAUAACUGACGCUGGAGGAGCGAAAGCGUGGGGAGCGAACAGG
This 253-nucleotide ribosomal RNA is filed under the name uncultured bacterium. RNAcentral's name for it is "partial 16S ribosomal RNA". It matches the Rfam family "Bacterial small subunit ribosomal RNA", at positions 524 to 776 of the family's 1533-position model. The record is from RNAcentral.